RNAcentral lists this ribosomal RNA (495 nucleotides) under uncultured Ascomycota. RNAcentral describes it as "eukaryotic LSU rRNA". The stretch from base 162 to 315 matches the Rfam family "5.8S ribosomal RNA". Lineage: Eukaryota; Fungi; Ascomycota. The record is from RNAcentral.
CAUUACAAGUGACCCCGGUCUAACCACCGGGAUGUUCAUAACCCUUUGUUGUCCGACUCUGUUGCCUCCGGGGCGACCCUGCCUUCGGGCGGGGGCUCCGGGUGGACACUUCAAACUCUUGCGUAACUUUGCAGUCUGAGUAAACUUAAUUAAUAAAUUAAAACUUUUAACAACGGAUCUCUUGGUUCUGGCAUCGAUGAAGAACGCAGCGAAAUGCGAUAAGUAAUGUGAAUUGCAGAAUUCAGUGAAUCAUCGAAUCUUUGAACGCACAUUGCGCCCCCUGGUAUUCCGGGGGGCAUGCCUGUUCGAGCGUCAUUUCACCACUCAAGCCUCGCUUGGUAUUGGGCAUCGCGGUCCGCCGCGUGCCUCAAAUCGACCGGCUGGGUCUUCUGUCCCCUAAGCGUUGUGGAAACUAUUCGCUAAAGGGUGUUCGGGAGGCUACGCCGUAAAACAACCCCAUUUCUAAGGUUGACCUCGGAUCAGGUAGGGAUACCC